RNAcentral lists this ribosomal RNA (254 nucleotides) under uncultured bacterium. Its description in RNAcentral is "partial 16S ribosomal RNA". It matches the Rfam family "Bacterial small subunit ribosomal RNA", at positions 524 to 776 of the family's 1533-position model. The record is from RNAcentral.
UACGGGGGGGGCAAGCGUUGUUCGGAAUUACUGGGCGUAAAGGGCUCGUAGGCGGCCAACUAAGUCAGACGUGAAAUCCCUCGGCUUAACCGGGGAACUGCGUCUGAUACUGGAUGGCUUGAGUGUGGGAGAGGGAUGCGGAAUUCCAGGUGUAGCGGUGAAAUGCGUAGAUAUCUGGAGGAACACCGGGGGCGAAGGCGGCAUCCGGGACCACGACUGACGCUGAGUGAGCGAAAGCCAGGGGAGCAAACGGG